CUCGCUCGACGCGCGGCCCGCCGUCGAUCAGGCGCGGAAGCAGCCAACGAAGCGCGGCAGGUGCAGGUGGUGGUGCUGGUGGUGGUGGUGCGCUCCGCCGCCGCUUGCCAGGGCGCCGUCGAGGUCCACGAGGUGCUGGGCGCAGCUGGUCCCGCGGAGGUCCUGGCCGAUGAGGUGCUCCACCUGGACGAAGCGGUCGACGCGGCAGGGGAUGGCGAGGGCGCCCUGGUGCCGGAAGCCGUACUCGCGCUCGGCCUCCUCCAGCAGCGCGCCGAAGAGCGGGUGCUUGAGGUGGCCCAGCGGGACCGCGAACCGGCGCUGCUCCUCGCCCUCCAGGCCCACGCGCACCGUCACGCACCCCUUGGGCGCCACCGCCGCCAGCUGCUGCUGCUGCUGAUGAUGAUGAUGCCUGCCGGGCAUGAUGGUCACCAGGAAGGAGCUCGGUGUUCUUUUUGCUUGCUUGUGGUGGUUGCUCGAUCAGGAAGGAGGACGAAGAAGCCGGCCGGCCGGGGGCUGAUGGUGGUUACAGGCAGGAAGAGAAGGGCCAGGGGUCGGAGCUGGAGAUGGCGAGGCGGAAGACGGUGAGGGAGGAAUCGCGGAGGGAGGUGGGCACGUUGGACAUGGCCUACUCCUCCACUUUGUCUCUUCUCAACGACGACGACGGCGGUGAUUCGGGUCGGGUCUGCCUCUGCCUCCCUUGUGGAUUCUGUUUGUUUGCGG
RNAcentral lists this unclassified non-coding RNA (720 nucleotides) under Zea mays. RNAcentral describes it as "misc RNA Zm00001eb220470". Lineage: Eukaryota; Viridiplantae; Streptophyta; Magnoliopsida; Poales; Poaceae. The record is from RNAcentral.